Molecule: ribosomal RNA, 497 nt
Filed under: uncultured bacterium
Lineage: Bacteria
Description: partial 16S ribosomal RNA
Rfam family: Bacterial small subunit ribosomal RNA
Source: RNAcentral
GACGAACGCUGGCGGCAUGCCUAAUACAUGCAAGUCGAACGCUGAAGCACCCUGCUUGCAGAGUGCGGAUGAGUGGCGAACGGGUGAGUAACACGUGGGGAAUCUGCCUAUAAGUGGGGGAUAACAUUCGGAAACGGAUGCUAAUACCGCAUAUAUUCUUGGACCGCCUGGUCCUUGAAAGAAAGACGGCUUUGCUGUCGCUUAUAGAUGAUCCCGCGGCGUAUUAGCUAGUUGGUGGGGUAAAGGCCUACCAAGACAAUGAUACGUAGCCGACCUGAGAGGGUGAUCGGCCACACUGGGACUGAGACACGGCCCAGACUCCUACGGGAGGCAGCAGUAGGGAAUCUUCCGCAAUGGGCGAAAGCCUGAUGGAGCAAUGCCGCGUGAAUGAAGAAGGUCUUCGGAUCGUAAAGUUCUGUUAUUAGAGAAGAACAAGUCAAGGAAUAACUGUCUUGACUUUGACGGUACCUAACCAGAAAGUCACGGCUAACUACGUG